UAGCUUAUCUACUGUCUGCACACCGCCC
RNAcentral lists this non-coding RNA (28 nucleotides) under Mus musculus (house mouse). The record is from RNAcentral. Lineage: Eukaryota; Metazoa; Chordata; Mammalia; Rodentia; Muridae.